CCUACGGGUGGCAGCAGUGGGGAAUAUUGGGCAAUGGAGGAAACUCUGACCCAGCCACGCCGCGUGAAUGAUGAAGGUCUUCGGGUUGGAAAGUUCUGUGAUGGGGGGUGAACACAAUGACGGUACCCCAAUAGCAAGCCACGGCUAAGUACGUGCCAGCAGCAGCGGUAAUACGGAGGUGGCAAGCGUUAUCCGGAAUGAAUGGGCGUAAAGGGUGCGUAGGUGGUUUAGUAAGUUGGCGGUGUAAUUCCGGGGCUCAACCUUGGAGCUACCGCCAAAACUAGUAGACUAGAGUGCAGGAGGGGUAAGUGGAAUUCCUAGUGUAGCGGUGGAAUGCGUAGAUAUUAGGAGGAACUUCAGGGGCGAAGGCGACUUACUGGACUGUAACUGACACUGAGGCACGAAAGCGUGGGGAGCAAACAGGAUUAGAUACCCUAGUAGUC
RNAcentral lists this ribosomal RNA (443 nucleotides) under uncultured bacterium. RNAcentral's name for it is "partial 16S ribosomal RNA". It matches the Rfam family "Bacterial small subunit ribosomal RNA", at positions 338 to 795 of the family's 1533-position model. The record is from RNAcentral.